Molecule: long non-coding RNA, 120 nt
Organism: Sapajus apella (tufted capuchin)
Lineage: Eukaryota; Metazoa; Chordata; Mammalia; Primates; Cebidae
Exons: 2
Source: RefSeq, a predicted model, not a curated record
CCAGCAACAACCAGCUCAAAACUCACCUCUUUGUAUGAAUGCACCAUGUGGCGACUUCGUUUGGAUUUCUGCAGGAACAUGGCAGAUCGAGCAUGUGUGCUUGAGAGAGACAGAGACAGA